RNAcentral lists this small RNA (626 nucleotides) under Oryza sativa Japonica Group (Japanese rice). Its description in RNAcentral is "sRNA Os04g0682051". The record is from RNAcentral. Lineage: Eukaryota; Viridiplantae; Streptophyta; Magnoliopsida; Poales; Poaceae.
GCCCGGCUUGAAUGCUGGUAGACCUCUGUAUGGGCAAGUACCACAUCGAAAUGCAUCGCCCAACCCACAAUUGCCACAAGCUGACUGAGGGUUAUUGAUCUGUUCUGAUGUGAGAUUUAGCUUCUCCACCUUCUCCUCAGCCUCAGCCCGGCCACAAGUACAGUUCUUGCAUGCCUUCCUUGUGGCUCCCACCUCACAAUCCCCAACUGUACCAACUGGAAGUUCUGGUUUCUUCAAGUCGUCUUCAGUCAAGAGGCUGUCUUCAUCAAUCAGUUCAGAAUCAUCAUCAAUCUGAAUCUUUGGAAGACCCUUUGUGGCUUUCUUGAGGGGGAAGGAAGAGCCCAUGCUCCAAGAGACCUUCUUUGCCUUAAUCUGCAUUAACAGAAUGCUCGCUAUCCUGGGAACUUGCAGCAGAAGCUUGCACGUCAACAAAUCCUCCUAACAGUAGCUUGCGCUGAAUAGAUACAUACAUCCUGAUCAGAGGGGGAACUCUGUAUAAGCACCAUGCCUCCAGCUUUAAGAACCCUGCUUAUUUCAGUUAUGAACAGAUCGCCCAAGUUUUCCACUUUCUUAAUGACAGCAAGAACAGAACCAACUGAUGCAUCAUCAAAAGGUAACUUCCCACC